UGAUCACUUAGUACUGGUUGGAUGCCAAC
RNAcentral lists this non-coding RNA (29 nucleotides) under Rattus norvegicus (Norway rat). Lineage: Eukaryota; Metazoa; Chordata; Mammalia; Rodentia; Muridae. The record is from RNAcentral.